Rhagoletis zephyria (snowberry fruit fly) is the source of this 521-nucleotide long non-coding RNA. RefSeq lists it as uncharacterized. The record is from RefSeq and is a predicted model, not a curated record. Lineage: Eukaryota; Metazoa; Arthropoda; Insecta; Diptera; Tephritidae.
GUGAACCAUCAUGGCUAUCACUCUAUAAAUGUUCAAAUGCUGAGCUAAGUAUUUUAAAUAAAAGUCGAGCGAUAAAUAUUUGUUAUACUUUUAUAGAUAUGUGACCAAAUUUAAAAAUACUGAACGUCAAUGCUAGGUUUCCGGGAGCACGACAUGACUCUUACAUUUGGAGUCCUGUCCAGUUCGGCGAGUCAUGCAGAGAGCUUUUGACAAUGGAAACCGCAGCAUGCUUUUGAUUGGCGAUUCAGGACACCCCUUAGAGCCAUGGCUCAUGACGCCUUUACCGAACCAACCUGAGGAUACUCCUAAGUUUCGGUACAACGAGGCGCUAUGCAAAGCUCGAAAUUCAGUAGAUAGACUAUUUGGAGUGCCUAAAUGAACUUGGCGAUGUUUAUCACAACAACGAGUGUUACUAUACGACCCUGGUUUUGCUGACUUUACAGCUCCUCCUAUUGCGUUGAGCUUUUGUGCCAUUUCCGCCCACUUCUUUUGGUACUCCAGCUUUCCGUGGAGACGCUGGA